AACGCGAAGAACCUUACCUGGGCUCGAACGGCUGGUCAACGCCGGUGGAAACACCGGUACUCCGCAAGGAGGUCCAGUCGAGGUGCUGCAUGGCUGUCGUCAGCUCGUGUCGUGAGAUGUUGGGUUAAGUCCCGCAACGAGCGCAACCCUUGUCCUGUGUUGCCAUCAUUCAGUUGGGAACUCGCAGGAGACCGCCAGCGAUAAGCUGGAGGAAGGUGGGGAUGACGUCAAGUCCUCAUGGCCUUUAUGUCCAGGGCUACACACGUGCUACAAUGGACGGUACAAAGCGUCGCUAACCCGCGAGGGGGAGCCAAUCGCAAAAAACCGUUCUCAGUUCGGAUUGCAGGCUGCAACUCGCCUGCAUGAAGCUGGAAUCGCUAGUAAUGGCAGAUCAGCACGCUGCCGUGAAUACGUUCCCGGGCCUUGUACACACCGGCUAC
Molecule: ribosomal RNA, 440 nt
Filed under: uncultured bacterium
Lineage: Bacteria
Description: bacterial SSU rRNA
Rfam family: Bacterial small subunit ribosomal RNA
Source: RNAcentral